This 389-nucleotide ribosomal RNA is filed under the name uncultured bacterium. RNAcentral describes it as "bacterial SSU rRNA". It matches the Rfam family "Bacterial small subunit ribosomal RNA", at positions 28 to 417 of the family's 1533-position model. The record is from RNAcentral.
GAUGAACGCUGGCGGCGUGCUUAACACAUGCAAGUCGAACGUGAGGGGAUAGCAAUAUUCUUGAAAGUGGCGCACGGGUGAGUAAUACGUAGGUAACCUGCCCUGGAGUGGGGGAUAACAACUGGAAACGGUUGCUAAUACCGCAUGAAGCCAAGACACUGGGAAGUGACUUGGUAAAAAACUCUGGUGCUUCAGGAGGGGCCUACGGCCGAUUAGCUAGUUGGCGGGGUAAGAGCCCACCAAGGCAGUGAUCGGUAGCUGGUCUGAGAGGACGAUCAGCCACACGGGAACUGAGACACGGCCCAGACUCCUACGGGAGGCAGCAGCGGGGAAUUUUGGACAAUGGGGGCAACCCUGAUCCAGCCAUGCCGCGUGAGUGAAGAAGGCCU